AACGCACGAGACCUGCGGACCUGCGGAGGGAUCAUUAACGAGUGAGGGUCUCCUAGGCCCGACCUCCCAACCCUAUGUUUACUACACCUAUGUUGCUUCGGCGGGCCCGUCUUCACGACCGCCGGGGGGCUGCAACAUGCCCUCUGGCCCGCGCCUGCCGGUGGCCAAACUUUACAAAUUCUGCUUUAAACCGUGUCACGUGUCUGAGUCUUAUUCUUAAUUAAAGCAAAAACUUUUAAC
RNAcentral lists this unclassified non-coding RNA (240 nucleotides) under soil metagenome. Its description in RNAcentral is "partial contains 5.8S ribosomal RNA, internal transcribed spacer 2, and large subunit ribosomal RNA". The record is from RNAcentral.